GGGGACCUUUAAACACUCAGAUUAUGAUGGAUCUGGAGAGCCUCACAAAUCCCUUCUGGCCCAUUAGACCUGUCUGCUGUGUGAGUAAAGGAAGUGUUUGGACGAAGUGGAGUAUGCACGCAGUGGCCUGGGAUGAUUUGGGUCUGUCCUACAGCCCUGAAGAUUGGCGGAGGAGCGCAGAUGCUGGAGGAGUGAGCUCCUGAGAUGCAGCAGUGACAGCAGUCCCUCAUCCCUGUGGAGGCCCGUGGACCCAGAGGCAGUGAUGGAGUGAGCCUGGCUGGCCCAGAAUUGCCAUCUGAGGAUCAGCUCCAGGAGGUGGAGGAGAAUUUUUCUUUACACAUCAGACAAGUUUCUGCUCAGUUGGAAUAAACGUGUAUUGUCAUCAAUGAGAUAAUAGUUUGAGUAUGUGAGAAAUCAAGACCCUGUCCCUUCCUAGCUGUUUUCUUCAGCUUCUAUUUGAGGGAGCCUCAAGGUAGUGUGUUAUAAAGAGACCACUUCCUAACUGGGUGACUCUGAGCAUGUCAUUUUUUAAUUCUCUGAGCUUCGGUUUCCCCAUCACAAAUGGGGUUCAUCUUUCACAGGGUUGUUUUUGAGUAAGAGGAGAAAAUACAUGUAUGGUCUUUAACACUUAGCAUGUGCCCAAUAAAUGUUACUUCUUUUUCCUAU
Molecule: non-coding RNA, 666 nt
Organism: Leptonychotes weddellii (Weddell seal)
Lineage: Eukaryota; Metazoa; Chordata; Mammalia; Carnivora; Phocidae
Source: RefSeq, a predicted model, not a curated record